ACGGUAGCACAGAGGAGCUUGCUCCUUGGGUGACGAGUGGCGGACGGGUGAGUAAUGUCUGGGAAACUGCCCGAUGGAGGGGGAUAACUACUGGAAACGGUAGCUAAUACCGCAUAACGUCGCAAGACCAAAGAGGGGGACCUUCGGGCCUCUUGCCAUCGGAUGUGCCCAGAUGGGAUUAGCUAGUAGGUGGGGUAACGGCUCACCUAGGCGACGAUCCCUAGCUGGUCUGAGAGGAUGACCAGCCACACUGGAACUGAGACACGGUCCAGACUCCUACGGGAGGCAGCAGUGGGGAAUAUUGCACAAUGGGCGCAAGCCUGAUGCAGCCAUGCCGCGUGUAUGAAGAAGGCCUUCGGGUUGUAAAGUACUUUCAGCGAGGAGGAAGGCGUUGUGGUUAAUAACCGCA
This 409-nucleotide ribosomal RNA is filed under the name uncultured Enterobacterales bacterium. RNAcentral describes it as "bacterial SSU rRNA". It matches the Rfam family "Bacterial small subunit ribosomal RNA", at positions 66 to 471 of the family's 1533-position model. The record is from RNAcentral. Lineage: Bacteria; Pseudomonadati; Pseudomonadota; Gammaproteobacteria; Enterobacterales.